Molecule: non-coding RNA, 747 nt
Organism: Punica granatum (pomegranate)
Lineage: Eukaryota; Viridiplantae; Streptophyta; Magnoliopsida; Myrtales; Lythraceae
Source: RefSeq, a predicted model, not a curated record
AAACGGUCUUAGGGUUCUUUAUUUCCUAAAUCAUUUCAGUUGCAAUCAUAAAAGAUAAGAGGUGAUCUUGAGCUGGAUUAUGCUUCGUUUCACUUUUUCAGCUGCUGAUGCAUGAUACAUAGUAUAAUUGCCGUGAAAGAAAUGGCAUCAAGUGGAUCAAUUGAGAUCGGGGGAGCUUCUCCAAUAUCGUCCACUGUCUCUCAAGGUGAUAAGGAAUGUCAUCAUGGAAUUAAAGCGGUAAUGUUGACCUCGAGAAGUGAGAAAAACCCAGGGAGAAGAUUCCUCCGAUGCAAAUUUUGGAAGGAUGAUGAUUGCAAAUAUUUUGAAUGGUAUGAUCAUGAAGAAACAAAACACACAAAGGAUGUUAUUAGGUAUUUGACUAAGGAGGAGGAGGCCCAUGUGACAGAGCUAAAGUUGAUGAAAGAAAAUAAUGAGAUUUUGUUUGUUAAGUUAUCGUUACUUGAGGAUAAGGUGGAAGCAUUGAAAUGGAGAAAUGACAACAUGGAGAAAGAGAUCAUGGGAAUGAGAUUGCAACUCCAAGAUGCAACGUCUAAUUGGAACAAGAUUUGCUCCAUAAAAGUUGUAUUUUUGAUCAUGCUAAUGUUUAUGAUUAUAUUAGUUUGGGUUUAUGUUGGCAUGAGAAAUGAAAAAUCAUUGUAUUUGCCGUGACCUAUGCACUUACCAUGAUUUUAAGCAUCUAUAUAUAAUAAACACUCAUGGGUAAAUUGCUAGAAAAUCAUUGUUCUA